UACGUAGGGAGCAAGCGUUGUCCGGAAUCAUUGGGCGUAAAGCGCGCGUAGGUGGCCUCAUAAGUCCGCUGUGAAAGUCAAAGGCUCAACCUUUGAAAGCCGGUGGAUACUGUGGGGCUAGAGUACGGAAGAGGCGAGUGGAAUUCCUGGUGUAGCGGUGGAAUGCGCAGAUAUCAGGAGGAACACCAAUAGCGAAGGCAGCUCGCUGGGACGUUACUGACACUGAGGCGCGAAAGCGUGAGGAGCGAACAGG
Molecule: ribosomal RNA, 253 nt
Filed under: uncultured bacterium
Lineage: Bacteria
Description: partial 16S ribosomal RNA
Rfam family: Bacterial small subunit ribosomal RNA
Source: RNAcentral